This 3284-nucleotide long non-coding RNA is filed under the name Brassica rapa (field mustard). RNAcentral's name for it is "long non-coding RNA (BRAP_LNC007609)". The record is from RNAcentral. Lineage: Eukaryota; Viridiplantae; Streptophyta; Magnoliopsida; Brassicales; Brassicaceae.
AGUGAUCAUUUUCUAAUUUAGAGCAUAUCACCAUGGAUCUCCAAACAACACGUCUUAUCUCCUAAGACCACGAGCUCACGCUGAUAUACCCCGGUUCCGGCGACAUGGCUGCAAUCUUCUGUGGUAGGUGACUACCGAUGGAGGAGAGCGGUAACUGGUGGUGAUGAUACAUGACGACUCCGGAGGAAUGAGGGGAGAUACCUCACGGUGGUGGCCGGUGGUGAUUGAUCUUGCAGCACGUCUCGUCUUGUCUUCUCGGACACAUAUGUGAAGAAGAGAAGAAACACAUGUGAUGAGCAAGAGACAUGGAAGGAAGGGACACAACGAACAAGGUGAUGAAGAUGGUGUGAGAUGCUUGACGGCGUGUUAUCAAUACUAUUAAAUUAGGAACAUGUCUUAUUGAUAUAUGUUUAGUCCAACUUAAAAUCUAAUUACAUAAGAAAAUACAUUUUAUUCUAUAUAUUUUGUGACCACCAUUUCAGUUCCAUAAUAAUAGGAAGCCACUAAUCAUUCUUUCUUUUACUAAUAAAUAUAAAUACUACAUUUUAUCAGUUACAAUUGUUAAAAACAAUCUCGAGGCCCCAAUAAAAACAUAAUAAAAAUGUGCUAUUUAUAUUUGAUUUACUAAAAAAGGGUAAUGAACUUACAUAAGUAAACAAAAAAAUGAUGGGGGCAUGAAGCUAAACCAUAAAUAUGUUUAAAAACAAAACAAAGAUCAGAAUUAUAAAUGGAUACAGUUAAAAUGAGAAAAUAUAUAUAAUAAUUUUGCCAAGAAAAAAACAAUAUAUACUUUUUAGUUUUGAUCACCAUUUUCUUCAUUAAAAUUAAACGAUAUAGUAAAAGCAUUAUCAAAAUUUAAAGAAUCACAAAUCAUAUAGUUUAUUCAAAUUAAUUAUGUACCAUUAAAAAUAUAUCAAAAGUUGAAUCAUUUUAAAACAAAUAUAUUCAGAUUUAUAUGGAUUUUUAUCCGGUCAACCAGUGUCGAAUUGCGAGUUAGUAACAGACUUUAUGAUUUUUACGGAUAUAUCUGAUUUUUAAAUAUCAAAUUUUAACUAAAUCUGAACCAUACUAUAUGCGGGUCACCAAAUUUAUCGGUUCGACCGCGGGUCUAGAUAGAAUUCAAAAAAAUUGGUAAAACUAUUAAAACCCCUGCAAAUAUAUAUUAUUGAUUUAUUCUAAAAUAUACAAAGUAAAUCUUAUGUCUCAUAAAUUCAACAAAUUUAAUUCUUAUAAAAUACAUAAGAAAUAUAAAAUAAUGUUGUGAGAUAAGAAUAUACAUACAAAAUCUCAAAUAAAAAAAUUGAUACAUUAUGUAAUUUUAAAUAAAAAAAUAUGCCCGCCCUUUUAAAGGGCGGGUCAUAAUCUAGUUAAAAUAAUAAGGUGGCUGGAUUUUUAUGAAAGCAUGUAUAUAUAUAAAUACAAAUACACACGGUUAGGUUUAGGAAUUAAAAUGGUUAGCUUUGGUUUAGAUAAAAAUUAUAAUUAAAGGAAAAUCAAACCGGUUUAGAAAAGAAACCCGGGUCACGGUCGUUACAAUUCUUCCCCACUUAUUUGUCCCGAAUUCUAAAAAGAACUAGAAAGGAACUUUAGCAACUACGAAGGAAAAAGAACAUAAGAUAAAUCAAAUAAUGGAAAGGAAUUGAAAGUUGGUCUUCUCCUGCAAAAAUAUUAGAGUUCGAAAUGAUAACAACUAACCGAGUGGUAGUGGACAGAAAGAUGUCACUUUUUUCUCAAAAACACCCAAUCCCGAAACAUUAAAAAUUUCUGAAAUCUGUGUCCCAUAAAUCGCCAUUCCAAGUCGGAGCCGGGACGGAACCCCGCUUUGAUACCAAAUUGGAACACUCGUCUCUUCCUCUCUCAAGAACGGCAUGUUAUUACCGAUAAAAUAUCGAAUUAAACCGUUUUAUUCAAAAACGAAUAAGAUACCAAAAUAUUUAAUAAAAUAAAUGCAAAAGAAAUACAUCCCUAAAUUUAAUUAUAAAAAUAUGUCAACUAAAUCGAAUGUAAAACUGAAAUAAAAUAUGCAAUCUCCAAAACACCAAACCGUCCAGAUAUCCAACUACUCGGCAAGCUCACCUGCAAUGGAAAGAAGAGGGGUGAGCAACAUGGGAGGAGUCACUCAGUGAUAUGGAAUGCUAAACCGUAAACCAUUGACUCAGUACAUAGCACUAAGACUAUGUAGGCCUAACUGUAGCAUGAAACAACCAUGGUGCCUGGUACACCUCACAGAACAAACAUAUGCCUAAAGCACAAUACAAACAAUGCGCUGAUAGUACAAGCUACUCUAUGCACCCCGCAUUUCCUCAUAAGGAUAUAUGUAUAUCACCAGGCGUACAGUAGUCCAUCUCUGCACAUCCACAAUCUGUGCGUCGGCGACUGAUACGAACGUCUUUGUGCCCCCACAAUCUCACUGCUCGUCGGCGGCUUAUACAAACGUCUUUAUGCACCCGCAAUCACACUGCUCAUCGGCGGAUUACACAAACGUCUUUGUGCACCCGCAAUCACACUGCUCGUCGGCGGCUUACACAAACGUCUUUGUACACCCGCAAUCUAUACAAACGGACUUAUAUAUUUAUACAUAUAUAUAUAUAUAUCAUUUUUAACAUCACUCAUUUCAAUCAUCAGUUGAAUCCUCUAUUGUCAUAUUUCCGGUUUAACAAUCAAUAAUAAUAAUAAACAAAAAAGACUCUCAAUCAGACUCGACUCACAGAGACGAAUCAUGUUUCGAAACUAAAUUUUCCAUAAUAGUAGUACUAGAUUAGCUCGGGAUUAAACGGAGUAAGCAUCACCUUAGUCAAUACCGGAGAGUCGAAAACGGAUCGGAAAACAAUCGGGAUAGCUUGAUCUCCAAGAAAUUAGGGUUUCGCCAUGGACCUCAAUCUUCUCGUAUUUGAUCACGUUCUCUACAUCACCAAUCUCGUACGUAUCACGAGGAUGAAACCAUGGAUCUCCAAACAACACGUCUUAUCUCCUAAGACCACGAGCUCACGCUGAUAUACCCCGGUUCCGGCGACAUGGCUGCAAUCUUCUGUGGUAGGUGACUAGCGAUGGAGGAGAGCGAUGACUGGUGGUGAUGAUAAAUGACUGCUCCGGAGGAAUGAGGUGAGAUACCUCACGGUGGUGGCCAGUGGUGAUUGAUCUCGCAGCACGUCUCGUCUUGUCUUCUCGGACACAUAUGUGAAGAAGAGAUGAAACACAUGUGAUGAGCAAGAGACAUGGAAGGAAGGGACACAACAAACAAGGUGAUGAAGAUGGUGUGAGAUGCUUGACGGCUUGACUCUCUC